UCUUGUAUAACAUAAUCUUAGAUUUAUACAAUUCAAGUUUUGAGCUUUGUGUAAUAUUGAUCAAUUUAAAAUAACAUUUUAAGUUUGUGCAAGAGAAGAAAGAACUAGUUUAUCUAAGAUUGAAUUAAAACUUUGUAUUUAGACCAAACCAAUGUUAUUUAGCCUAUCAUAUUUGAUUUAAAAUUAAAAUAUAUUUUUGUGUUUGUAAAA
RNAcentral lists this long non-coding RNA (210 nucleotides) under Actinidia chinensis (golden kiwifruit). RNAcentral describes it as "long non-coding RNA (ACHI_LNC002017)". Lineage: Eukaryota; Viridiplantae; Streptophyta; Magnoliopsida; Ericales; Actinidiaceae. The record is from RNAcentral.